UUUGUUCUGGAAGAGCCGGGGAACGUUUUGGAGUUCGUAACUCCGGAGCCGAGGCGGUUGUAGGUGGAGCAGGAGAUCAUUUUCUUGAAUACAU
Molecule: transfer RNA, 94 nt
Filed under: Leptospira kirschneri serovar Bim str. 1051
Lineage: Bacteria; Pseudomonadati; Spirochaetota; Leptospiria; Leptospirales; Leptospiraceae
Also listed under: 10 other names
Description: tRNA-Thr
Source: RNAcentral